GUUUUAAAGUUUUAAUUUUAGAUUGUCCCUGCUCAAUGAUGUUUUUAAAUAGCUGCAGUAAAUUGACUGUACUAAGGUAGCAUAAUAAUUAGUUUAUUAAUUGUAAACUUGAAUGAAUGGGUUGAUAGGGGGAAGCUGUCUUUAUUUAAUUAGUUUUGAAUUUGACUUUAGAGUUAAAAGGCUUUAAUUAUUUUGAGGGACGAUAAGACCCUAUAGAACUUUAUUUUUGGAUGGAUAUUAAAUUUUUUUAUUGGUUUAGUUGGGGUGAUUGGGAUAUUAAUUUAACUUUCUUUUUUUUUUACUUUUAUUUUAGGUUGUUUUUGUUUAGAUUUUUUUGAUAAGAAAAGUUACCUUAGGGUUAACAGCAUAAUUUUUUUGGAGAGUUCUAAUCGAUAAAGGAGAUUGUGACCUCGAUGUUGAAUUAAAAUUUAUUUAUGGUGAAGAAUUUAUUUAAUUGAGUCUGUUCGACUUUUGAAAUUCUACA
RNAcentral lists this ribosomal RNA (484 nucleotides) under Gibocercus sandrae. RNAcentral's name for it is "partial 16S ribosomal RNA". The record is from RNAcentral. Lineage: Eukaryota; Metazoa; Arthropoda; Insecta; Embioptera; Archembiidae.